This 479-nucleotide ribosomal RNA is filed under the name Staphylococcus sp. MAL51. Its description in RNAcentral is "bacterial SSU rRNA". It matches the Rfam family "Bacterial small subunit ribosomal RNA", at positions 950 to 1428 of the family's 1533-position model. The record is from RNAcentral. Lineage: Bacteria; Bacillati; Bacillota; Bacilli; Caryophanales; Staphylococcaceae.
UUUGAAGCAACGCGAAGAACCUUACCAAAUCUUGACAUCCUUUGACCGCUCUAGAGAUAGAGUCUUCCCCUUCGGGGGACAAAGUGACAGGUGGUGCAUGGUUGUCGUCAGCUCGUGUCGUGAGAUGUUGGGUUAAGUCCCGCAACGAGCGCAACCCUUAAGCUUAGUUGCCAUCAUUAAGUUGGGCACUUUAGGUUGACUGCCGGUGACAAACCGGAGGAAGGUGGGGAGGACGUCAAAUCAUCAUGCCCCUUAUGAUUUGGGCUACACACGUGCUACAAUGGAUAAUACAAAGGGCAGGGAAUCCGGGAGGCCAAGCAAAUCCCAUAAAAUUAUUCUCAGUUCGGAUUGUAGUCUGCAACUCGACUACAUGAAGCUGGAAUCGCUAGUAAUCGUAGAUCAGCAUGCUACGGUGAAUACGUUCCCGGGUCUUGUACACACCGCCCGUCACACCACGAGAGUUUGUAACACCCGAAGCC